GACGAACGCUGGCGGCACGCCUAACACAUGCAAGUCGAACGGACUUACAAGAGCUUGCUUUUUUAAGUUAGUGGCGGACGGGUGAGUAACACGUGAGCAACCUGCCUCUGAGAGGGGGAUAGCUUCUGGAAACGGAUGGUAAUACCCCAUAAAAUAUAAAUAUCGCAUGAUAGAUAUAUCAAAGAAAUUCGCUCAGAGAUGGGCUCGCGUCUGAUUAGAUAGUUGGUGAGGUAACGGCUCACCAAGUCGACGAUCAGUAGCCGGACUGAGAGGUUGAACGGCCACAUUGGGACUGAGACACGGCCCAGACUCCUACGGGAGGCAGCAGUGGGGAAUAUUGCACAAUGGAGGGAACUCUGAUGCAGCGAUGCCGCGUGGAGGAAGAAGGUUUUCGGAUUGUAAACUCCUUUUAUCAGGGACGAUAAUGACGGUACCUGAAGAAAAAGCGCCGGCUAACUACGUG
Molecule: ribosomal RNA, 463 nt
Filed under: uncultured bacterium
Lineage: Bacteria
Description: partial 16S ribosomal RNA
Rfam family: Bacterial small subunit ribosomal RNA
Source: RNAcentral